Molecule: ribosomal RNA, 468 nt
Filed under: uncultured bacterium
Lineage: Bacteria
Description: partial 16S ribosomal RNA
Rfam family: Bacterial small subunit ribosomal RNA
Source: RNAcentral
GACGAACGCUGGCGGCGUGCUUAACACAUGCAAGUCGAACGGAAAGGCCCUGCUUUUGUGGGGUGCUCGAGUGGCGAACGGGUGAGUAACACGUGAGUAACCUGCCCUUGACUUUGGGAUAACUUCAGGAAACUGGGGCUAAUACCGGAUAGGAGCUCCUGCUGCAUGGUGGGGGUUGGAAAGUUUCGGCGGUUGGGGAUGGACUCGCGGCUUAUCAGCUUGUUGGUGGGGUAGUGGCUUACCAAGGCUUUGACGGGUAGCCGGCCUGAGAGGGUGACCGGCCACAUUGGGACUGAGAUACGGCCCAGACUCCUAAGGGAGGCAGCAGUGGUGAAUAUUGCACAAUGGGCGGAAGCCUGAUGCAGCAACGCCGCGUGCGGGAUGACGGCCUUCGGGUUGUAAACCGCUUUCGCCUGUGACGAAGCGUGAGUGACGGUAAUGGGUAAAGAAGCACCGGCUAACUACGUG